Non-coding RNA from Phrynosoma platyrhinos (Desert horned lizard), 72 nucleotides. The record is from the annotation of a GenBank genome assembly. Lineage: Eukaryota; Metazoa; Chordata; Lepidosauria; Squamata; Phrynosomatidae.
GCCAGCAUGGUGUAGUGGUUUGAGUAUUUGAUUACCACUCUGCAGACCUGGGUUUGAUCCCCAAUUCUGCCA